Non-coding RNA from Pelobates cultripes (western spadefoot toad), 246 nucleotides. Lineage: Eukaryota; Metazoa; Chordata; Amphibia; Anura; Pelobatidae. The record is from the annotation of a GenBank genome assembly.
CAUACCAUUUGCAAUAGUAGACGACCCAAAGUAUUGCAAAUAGGGUAUGUCCAGUCUUUUUUAGUAGCCACUUAGUCACAAACACUGGCCAAAAUUGGCAUUCAACUUAGUUUUUUGCAUUUUUCACACACAAACACAUAUAUACAAACUAACUUUGGCCAGUGUUUGUGACCAAGUGGCUACUAAAAAAGACUAGACAUACUCCAUUUGCAAUACCUUGGGUUGUCUACUUUUGCAAAUGGUAUG